Molecule: ribosomal RNA, 253 nt
Filed under: uncultured bacterium
Lineage: Bacteria
Description: partial 16S ribosomal RNA
Rfam family: Bacterial small subunit ribosomal RNA
Source: RNAcentral
GACGGAGGGUGCUAGCGUUGUUCGGAAUUACUGGGCGUAAAGGGCGCGUAGGCGGCCGUUUGCGUCGGAUGUGAAAGCCCGGGGCUCAACCCCGGGAGGCGGGUGGAUACUGCUCAGCUCGAGUCCGGAAGAGGAGUGUGGAAUUCCUGGUGUAGCGGUGAAAUGCGCAGAUAUCAGGAGGAACACCAAUGGCGAAGGCAGCACUCUGGGACGGUACUGACGCUGAGACGCGAAAGCGUGGGGAGCAAACAGG